Long non-coding RNA from Octodon degus (degu), 99 nucleotides. RefSeq lists it as uncharacterized. The transcript has 3 exons. The record is from RefSeq and is a predicted model, not a curated record. NCBI's taxonomy places the organism in Eukaryota, Metazoa, Chordata, Mammalia, Rodentia, Octodontidae.
ACAAAUAAAACCAAAUAUUUUGUUAACAAGAUGAAAUCCAUCCUAAAGGAAAGAAGCCAGUGAAAGGAGAAUUCAAGAAAAGAAGCCAGUGCAAAGAGA